GACGAACGCUGGCGGCGUGCCUAAUACAUGCAAGUAGAACGCUGAAGGAGGAGCUUGCUUCUCCGGAUGAGUUGCGAACGGGUGAGUAACGCGUAGGUAACCUGCCUGGUAGCGGGGGAUAACUAUGGGAACCGUUGGCAAUUCCGCAUAAAAAUAGAUGGUUCAAGAAAUUUUUUUUAAAAGUUCAAUUGGAUCAAUAACAGGAUGACCUUGGUUGUUUUAGCUAGUUUGUGGGGUAACGGGUCACCAAGGCGACGAGACAUAGCCGACCUGAGGGGGUGAUCGGCCACACUGGGACUGAGACACGGCCCAGACUCCUACGGGAGGCAGCAGUAGGGAAUCUUCGCCAAUGGACGGAAGUCUGACCGAGCAACGCCGCGUGAGUGAAGAAGGUUUUCGGAUCGUAAAGCUCUGUUGUAAGAGAAGAACGAGUGUGAGAGUGGAAAGUUCACACUGUGACGGUAUCUUACCAGAAAGGGACGGCUAACUACGUG
Molecule: ribosomal RNA, 494 nt
Filed under: uncultured bacterium
Lineage: Bacteria
Description: partial 16S ribosomal RNA
Rfam family: Bacterial small subunit ribosomal RNA
Source: RNAcentral